Molecule: long non-coding RNA, 375 nt
Filed under: Brassica napus (rape)
Lineage: Eukaryota; Viridiplantae; Streptophyta; Magnoliopsida; Brassicales; Brassicaceae
Description: long non-coding RNA (BNAP_LNC017026)
Source: RNAcentral
AGGAGGUGCCAAAGGUAACGACCGAGGAAUCAUCAGCGGAGGUCACGGAUCGAGGACUGUUUGAUUUCUUGGGGAAGAAGAAGGAGGAAACAAAACCUGAGGAGACCAUCGACUCUGAGUUUGAACAUAAGGUUCAUAUCUCAGAGCCAGUGGUGCCUGAGGUUAAACACGAGAAAGAAGAGAAAAAUCAUAGUCUCCUCGAGAAGCUUCACCGAAGCGACAGCUCUUCUAGCUCCGUAAGUUUAUAUAUGAUCAUUAAAAAAUAUAGUGGAAGAUUCGGACAUAAUCUAUGUGUAUAAGUGUAUUGUGUUAGAUCUUGUCUGUUGAAUGAUGGUAACUGUAACCUAGUCUAACUAUAUGGAUACGUAUUGGACA